This 253-nucleotide ribosomal RNA is filed under the name uncultured bacterium. Its description in RNAcentral is "partial 16S ribosomal RNA". It matches the Rfam family "Bacterial small subunit ribosomal RNA", at positions 524 to 776 of the family's 1533-position model. The record is from RNAcentral.
UACAGAGGUCCCAAGCGUUGUUCGGAUUCACUGGGCGUAAAGGGUGCGUAGGUGGUGAGGUAAGUCGGAUGUGAAAGCUCGGAGCUCAACUCCGAAAUGGCAUUGGAAACUACCUUGCUCGAGGGUUGGAGGGGGGACUGGAAUACUUGGUGUAGCAGUGAAAUGCGUAGAUAUCAAGUGGAACACCAGUGGCGAAGGCGAGUCCCUGGACAACUCCUGACGCUGAGGCACGAAAGCCAGGGGAGCAAACGGG